This 596-nucleotide ribosomal RNA is filed under the name uncultured bacterium. RNAcentral describes it as "bacterial SSU rRNA". It matches the Rfam family "Bacterial small subunit ribosomal RNA", at positions 338 to 945 of the family's 1533-position model. The record is from RNAcentral.
CCUACGGGAGGCAGCAGUGGGGAAUAUUGGGCAAUGGAGGAAACUCUGACCCAGCGACGCCGCGUGCGGGAUGAAGGCCUUCGGGUUGUAAACCGCUUUCAGUAGGGAAGAAGCGAAAGUGACGGUACCUACAAAAGAAGCACCGGCUAACUAUGUGCCAGCAGCCGCGGUAAUACAUAGGGUGCAAGCGUUGUCCGGAAUUAUUGGGCGUAAAGAGCUCGUAGGUCGUUUGUUACGUCGGAUGUGAAAACCUGAGGCUCAACCUCAGGCCUGCAUUCGAUACGGGCAAACUAGAGUUUGGUAGGGGAGACUGGAAUUCCUGGUGUAGCGGUGGAAUGCGCAGAUAUCAGGAGGAACACCAAUGGCGAAGGCAGGUCUCUGGGCCAAUACUGACACUGAGGAGCGAAAGUCUGGGGAGCGAACAGGAUUAGAUACCCUGGUAGUCCAGACCGUAAACGGUGGGCACUAGUUGUGGGAACCUUCCACGGUUUCUGCGACGCAGCUAACGCAUUAAGUGCCCCGCCUGGGGAGUACGAUCGCAAGAUUAAAACUCAAAUGAAUUGACGGCNGAGAGUGCGAGACGACGACGAGGAGAG